This 207-nucleotide ribosomal RNA is filed under the name uncultured bacterium. RNAcentral describes it as "partial 16S ribosomal RNA". It matches the Rfam family "Bacterial small subunit ribosomal RNA", at positions 568 to 774 of the family's 1533-position model. The record is from RNAcentral.
CGCGUAGGUGGCGGAGCAAGUCAGAUGUGAAAGACCAAAGCUCAACUUUGGGGCCGCAUCUGAAACUGUUUAGCUAGAGGGUAGACGGAGAAAAUGGAAUUUCACAUGUAGCGGUGAAAUGCGUAGAUAUGUGAAGGAACACCGGUGGCGAAAGCGGUUUUCUAGUUUACACCUGACACUGAGGCGCGAAAGCAAGGGGAGCAAACA